Molecule: ribosomal RNA, 1168 nt
Filed under: Salmonella enterica
Lineage: Bacteria; Pseudomonadati; Pseudomonadota; Gammaproteobacteria; Enterobacterales; Enterobacteriaceae
Also listed under: 1 other name
Description: partial 23S ribosomal RNA
Rfam family: Bacterial large subunit ribosomal RNA
Source: RNAcentral
AAUCCAUAGGUUAAUGAGGCGAACCGGGGGAACUGAAACAUCUAAGUACCCCGAGGAAAAGAAAUCAACCGAGAUUCCCCCAGUAGCGGCGAGCGAACGGGGAGGAGCCCAGAGCCUGAAUCAGCAUGUGUGUUAGUGGAAGCGUCUGGAAAGGCGCGCGAUACAGGGUGACAGCCCCGUACACAAAAGCGCAUGUGCUGUGAGCUCGAUGAGUAGGGCGGGACACGUGGUAUCCUGUCUGAAUAUGGGGGGACCAUCCUCCAAGGCUAAAUACUCCUGACUGACCGAUAGUGAACCAGUACCGUGAGGGAAAGGCGAAAAGAACCCCGGCGAGGGGAGUGAAAAAGAACCUGAAACCGUGUACGUACAAGCAGUGGGAGCCCCACCACCAAAGCAUUUGCUGUACCGCGUUGACGGAGCGAAGCGACGUCAAACCGAUAAAACAGCAGUGUAAAGUGAGCCGCAGGGCGCUUUGCGCGACAGCGCAAAGGCAGGCGGUUUCGCGUAGCGAAAGCGAAUGCUUUGGGGUGGGGUGACUGCGUACCUUUUGUAUAAUGGGUCAGCGACUUAUAUUCUGUAGCAAGGUUAACCGAAUAGGGGAGCCGGAGGGAAACCGAGUCUUAAUUGGGCGUUAAGUUGCAGGGUAUAGACCCGAAACCCGGUGAUCUAGCCAUGGGCAGGUUGAAGGUUGGGUAACACUAACUGGAGGACCGAACCGACUAAUGUUGAAAAAUUAGCGGAUGACCUGUGGCUGGGGGUGAAAGGCCAAUCAAACCGGGAGAUAGCUGGUUCUCCCCGAAAGCUAUUUAGGUAGCGCCUCGUGAAUUCAUCUCCGGGGGUAGAGCACUGUUUCGGCUAGGGGGCCAUCCCGGCUUACCAACCCGAUGCAAACUGCGAAUACCGGAGAAUGUUAUCACGGGAGACACACGGCGGGUGCUAACGUCCGUCGUGAAGAGGGAAACAACCCAGACCGCCAGCUAAGGUCCCAAAGUCAUGGUUAAGUGGGAAACGAUGUGGGAAGGCCCAGACAGCCAGGAUGUUGGCUUAGAAGCAGCCAUCAUUUAAAGAAAGCGUAAUAGCUCACUGGUCGAGUCGGCCUGCGCGGAAGAUGUAACGGGGCUAAACCAUGCACCGAAGCUGCGGCAGCGACACUGUGUGUUGUUGGGUA